AUAGAAGUAACAGCUGCUGACAUUGCCUUUUGAGUUCUCUACUAAAAGCAAUAAUGGCGGCUGCAAGUGCAACAGUGAGGGUAUCAGCAAACAACACUAUAACAGCUUCACUAAUAUCGAAAAGUCCUCUCCAAAAGCCCAGCAUUUUCCACCUAUGCUUCCGUAAUGGAGCUGCUGCUGCACAAAGGAAUCGACUUUUCAGUUGCAGUGCUAUUUACAAUCCCCAAAUUCAAAUCAAACAACACGGACAGCCUGAAACGUUGGAUUAUCGUGUAUUUUUUGCGGAAGAUUCCGGCAAAAAGGUAUCCCCUUGGCAUGAUAUACCACUUAACUUAGGUGAUGGUGUUUUCAAUUUCAUUGCUGAAAUUCCCAAAGAAUCAAGUGCAAAGAUG
This 392-nucleotide unclassified non-coding RNA is filed under the name Hevea brasiliensis (rubber tree). The record is from RNAcentral. Lineage: Eukaryota; Viridiplantae; Streptophyta; Magnoliopsida; Malpighiales; Euphorbiaceae.